Molecule: ribosomal RNA, 591 nt
Filed under: uncultured bacterium
Lineage: Bacteria
Description: partial 16S ribosomal RNA
Rfam family: Bacterial small subunit ribosomal RNA
Source: RNAcentral
UGGGGAAUAUUGCACAAUGGGCGCAAGCCUGAUGCAGCCAUGCCGCGUGUGUGAAGAAGGCCUUCGGGUUGUAAAGCACUUUCAGCGAGGAGGAAGGUGGUGGACUUAAUACGUUCAUCAAUUGACGUUACUCGCAGAAGAAGCACCGGCUAACUCCGUGCCAGCAGCCGCGGUAAUACGGAGGGUGCAAGCGUUAAUCGGAAUUACUGGGCGUAAAGCGCACGCAGGCGGUUUGUUAAGUCAGAUGUGAAAUCCCCGGGCUCAACCUGGGAACUGCAUUUGAAACUGGCAAGCUAGAGUCUCGUAGAGGGGGGUAGAAUUCCAGGUGUAGCGGUGAAAUGCGUAGAGAUCUGGAGGAAUACCGGUGGCGAAGGCGGCCCCCCUGGACGAAGACUGACGCUCAGGUGCGAAAGCGUGGGGAGCAAAACAGGAUUAGAUACCCUGGUAGUCCACGCUGUAAAACGAUGUCGAUUUGGAGGUUGUGCCCCUUGAGGCGUGGCUUCCGGAGCUAACGCGUUAAAUCGACCGCCCCGGGGAGUACGGCCGCAAGGUUAAAACUCAAAUGAAUUGACGGGGUCAUAGCUGUUUCCU